This 253-nucleotide ribosomal RNA is filed under the name uncultured bacterium. RNAcentral describes it as "partial 16S ribosomal RNA". It matches the Rfam family "Bacterial small subunit ribosomal RNA", at positions 524 to 776 of the family's 1533-position model. The record is from RNAcentral.
UACGAAGGACCCAAGCGUUAUCCGGAUUCAUUGGGCUUAAAGGGUGCGUAGGCGGGUUGAUAAGUCAGUGGUUAAAGCCCAACGCUUAACGUUGGAACUGCCAUUGAUACUGUCGAUCUUGAAUGUGUUUGAUGUGGGCGGAAUAUGACAUGUAGCGGUGAAACGCUUAGAUAUGUCAUAGAACACCGAUUGCGAAGGCAGCUCACAAAGCCGCUAUUGACGCUGAGGCACGAAAGCGUGGGGAGCAAACAGG